This 1039-nucleotide long non-coding RNA is filed under the name Salmo salar (Atlantic salmon). RNAcentral's name for it is "lncRNA (ENSSSAG00000107849.1)". Lineage: Eukaryota; Metazoa; Chordata; Actinopteri; Salmoniformes; Salmonidae. The record is from RNAcentral.
GUGUGUCUGAGCAGCAGCCGGUAGUGAGCCCUGUGCAGAAACACACACUACAGAUGGAAUCAAUACAGCUCUGCUCCCAUUCAAGGUGAAACCAAAUAAACCUGUCCAGAAGCUAUGAGAUAUAGACCAUGUGGUACAGCAGGACCAAUGAGAGCUGUCUUUAUACAACCAUUAAACACCCUUCCCAUUCGCUCACAACCCACCGACCAGCUAGCUUCUCACAAAUCAAAUCAAAUGUUAUUUUUGUCACAUGCUUCGUAAACAAGACUAACAGUGAAAUACUUACGGGUCCUUUUUCAACAACGCAGAGAGAAAGAAAAUAGAGAGAUAAUAGAAAAGCAAUAACAAGUAAUAAUAACUUGUUUGUAUACAAGUAGUACCAAGUCCCUCUCUCCCACCUUAUGUCACAACAACAAACACCCCACGAUCCCCCUCUCCACCCCUCCUUUCUCAUCUUUAACCACAGGCCGGUCAUCAGGAAUACUUCCUAAGUUAAGCAGAGUCAUCCUGGCCGCGUCAAUCCCCUGAUCCUCUCCUCCCAUCCAGCCUGCAUCUUAUUUACCCAUAACACACCUCCGUACCUACAGUAUCCUCCAUCCCUCUACUGCUGCCACCAGAGACAGACAGACAGGCUCACAAAAAGACAGACAGACCGGUAGACAGAGAGGGAGACAGACAGACAAAGACAGACAGGCCGGCAGAGUGACAAGCAGAGAGACAAGCAGCCAGAGAGACAGACAGGUAGAGAGACAAGCAGACACAGAGACAGGCAGACAGAGAGACAGGCAGACAGACAGACAGAGACAGGAAAAGACAGACAUAGAGACAUACAGACAGGACACGCAGAGACAGACAGGCAGCAUGACAGAGAGAGACAGGCAUAGACAGGCAGACAGAGACAAGCAGACAGAGAGGCAGACAUACAAGGAGAGAGGGACAGGGAGAGAGAGACAGACAGAACGACAGAGAGACAGACACCCAGAGAAGGACAAGCAGGCAGACAGACACAAAGAGAGACAGACACACAGAGAAAUAGACA